GGUUGAUCCUGCCAGUAGUCAUAUGCUUGUCCCAAAGAUUCAGCCAUGCAAGUCCAAGUAUAAGCCUUUAUACGGUGAAACUGCGAAUGGCUCAUUAAAUCAGUUAUAAUUUACAUGAUGGUACACUAUACAUGGAUAACCGUGGUAAUUCUACAGCUAAUACAUGCGAAAAGCGGGAGAAAUCCGGCGAGUAUUUAUUAGAUAAAACCAACGCCAGCAAUGGCCAAUGGCGAGUCAAGAUAACUGCGCGGAUCGCAGGGCCGCGAGCCGGCGACGCAUCAAUCAAAUAU
RNAcentral lists this ribosomal RNA (290 nucleotides) under uncultured eukaryote. Its description in RNAcentral is "partial 18S ribosomal RNA". It matches the Rfam family "Eukaryotic small subunit ribosomal RNA", at positions 6 to 306 of the family's 1831-position model. The record is from RNAcentral.